This 126-nucleotide transfer RNA is filed under the name Hypoxylon rubiginosum. RNAcentral describes it as "tRNA-Pro". The record is from RNAcentral. Lineage: Eukaryota; Fungi; Ascomycota; Sordariomycetes; Xylariales; Hypoxylaceae.
GGUUUGAUGGUCUAGUGGUAUGAUUCUCGCUUAGGGUGACACCCGAGGUUCUAGCAUUAAUAUCGUUAUUACAACGAUAAUAUGCACUUAUGCGAGAGGUCCCGAGUUCAAUCCUCGGUCAAACCC